UUCAGUCAAAUCUCCCGCAAAUUAUCGUGCUCUAGAUCUCUCAGAAUUAAAUAUAUAAUACAGUUGUAUGUAUAGAUGUGUUGAUGCAUGUAUACUGAUCAUUUUGAUAUUAGAUUCAACUUCUCUAUAUGUUUCUUCAGCUCUUUAGUGUUGUUUCAAUCAGGUACUGGUUCUGUUUUCGUUAAUUACGAAGAGAAAUGUGUUUAUAUGUGUGUGUGGGUGUGUGUUUUGGGCGUUGAUGAAAUGUGAACUUAAUUGACGCUUAUUUAUGUUUCUGAAAUAAAUGCUGUACAUUUAUUGAUGUGAGCGCGCGCAUAGCGGGGGUUUCGGGUGUGCCUAUUUAUGUAUACUGAAGUGAAGUGUAACGUGUAUUUCAUGCGUCUCUGUGCAGUGCAUGGGCGGGGUGCAUAGAUUGGAACUUUAAUCUUUGAAGAG
Molecule: long non-coding RNA, 435 nt
Filed under: Olea europaea subsp. europaea
Lineage: Eukaryota; Viridiplantae; Streptophyta; Magnoliopsida; Lamiales; Oleaceae
Source: RNAcentral